CUGUUGUUUUUGGUAUGUGUGUGUAGUUACAGAGGGACAUACUUUCUCCUGUGGAAACAAUCAUAGGUGGCUGGAAGAACAGAAAAACUCAGCUCUCAGCAAAAGCAGCAAUAUGUAGAGAUUAUGUUGUUUGAAGAGAAAAUGACUAAAACUGCAUUUAGUCAGAAGAAAGGGAAAAGUAUACCACUUGUUUUGGAGUUCAGUCUGUUGGACCUUGUACUUCUUGCUCUCAAAAGAGGUUCAGCAAAUUCCUGUAAUCCUCAAGAGGUGUGCAUGUGAGAAUAAGGUGGACCAUAAAAACAGAUAACAGACCCAUAUGAGAGAGGAAAAGAAAAUGGAUGGAUGCCAGGAUUAUUUACAAGCAGUCUAAUCCCCCUAACAACUCUCCCAAACCAUUCAUCUGGUUCAGAAUAUGAAGGAUACUCAAUUAUUCAAUGAAAAGGUUAAGUCUGUGGUAAAUAUGCAUAGUCAGUAAUGAAGUGUACUUCCCCUGGGUAUUUUUAAAAGGAUGCAGACUGACAGUUGUUUACCACAUCCUUUCUGGAUAUGUUUUCUGAGGUUUUUGUUUGCGACACUGCUUAUGCUUAUUCUCAAAAUGCAGCUCCUUGGCUGCUUUGCUUUAUUGAAAUUGUAACUGGGUGACAGUGAAGUAAGUCAGCCAUGAAAAUGUAUGUGUAUCCAAACCAAGGCAAUAAUUCCCACAACAUUUUUGUGUUAACCCUGAGUACCCUGCUACAUGGAAGUGUCAGCGUACAGCCCACCUAACUUUUCUAGAUCCAGGCUUGCAUCCAUCUUUCCAUCUGUCCAUCUGUCUCUUUGCUUUGCUUUUCAUUUUUUCUGCUAUAUAUUCGUCUGUAUUUUGCUGAUAGCCAUCGGUAUGUGUUACACACAUACAAAGGAACUUAUAACUAUGUCACUGUUGGUAUUUUUUUGGCUUUGGUGCUUAGAUUCAAGCUGUUUUGUAUCUUUAGUAGUGGCUGCAGGUUUGUUCUGUUAAUGAAAACUUUUGCAGAAAAACUAGGAUUGCAAACUGAUAAAUUACUUGACUAAAGACAGCCCCUACCUUUAACCAACGUUAUUUCCAGCAAUGUCUUGCCUUGAGUGUUAAUUUCUAGUGAGUCAAUGCAAAGAUAUCAUAUUAUGUUCUUGGAGAGGCCACACACAUGUUGCAUUGCACGAUGGAGCUUUGUGCACAGCAUCCAUUUAGCACUGGGGUCUCCACCGGGGAAAAACACAAAGUUCCAGUGCCCUCUUAGCCCUGGGAAGGGACCCUGCAGAAACCAGCUCUGACAGUCAGAGCAUUGCUCUGAGCUCUCAGUCAAGAGCUAACAGAGAUUUUGUAAAUGUCAAUCCUUUUCCUCUGCUCAGGGGGCAUAUGGAGGCCAGUGGGAAUAACUAUAUUUCCUGCAUUUGCAGCCAAAGGCCAGGUGUCCAUGGACUUUUCUCCAGGCUGUGGGGCUGGCUUGAGCAUAUCCCAGUUGCUUCCUUCUCCUUGGUGGUCCUAAACUGCUCCCUUCCUCCCUCCUAGGUAGUCUAACAGUCAUGGCAGCAUACAUUUGACUGGCUUGGGAGCUAGCCCUAUUGUGGAAUCAUUUAGGUAAAAAUGUGGCCAAAAAAAAAAAAAUUUUUUUGAAUAAAAAAAAAAAGCAAAAAAAAAAAAAAAAGGAAUGCAAUCAGUUUCCUGAACUGUGGCCUGAGAACUGAAUUUUAUUUUAGAUCAGUUUCCCCAUGAAUAGGAAGGUCACAGAAUAUUAUCUAGAAUAAAAUGGUUAAAAUUAAUACCUUGACUGAGUUGUGGUCAUAGGGAUUGAUCAGGGAUAGGAAGGACAGACUUAAUGAGGAACACAAUGUCAGGUAUAUUUGUAUAACAGUCAAAUGUUCCUUGUCUCUAAUUCAUCUCUUUAAAGGAAAGGACAAUGAGAGUGUGCAUUAUAAGAGCAUGAAAUGCCUUGAAAGAAAAAGGGCUGAAAUAUGACAUAAAGAAGUCUCUUGGAGCUAAUCUAAGUGUAGACAGAAAUAACUAAGUUUUUGUUUCUUUUCACUGGCAUUUAAAGCUCUUGUAAAUGUUUUCUGCAUUUGGAUUAUGAAAGUACACUUAUUUUUCACUGCAUCCUGGGUUUAUGUUAAUGCUGUUUUCCAAGGGAUAAAUACAAUUAUUUUAACAUUAUUCUAUUAAAUAUAAAAUAUAAAAAAAUAUAAAAUAUUAUUUUAAUAAAUACCAUCCUCAUUUUUUAAAACUGGACCCCUGGACUACUUGAAUGCUACCCAGUGCUAUGAUUUUUAAACAUAAAAUGAAAUGCAGCAUUACUCCACCGACCUGCACGGGAACUGGUAACGCAGAGACCUGUGUGUUACAGAUAUCUUUGGGUGACUAGUGUGAGGCAGGAACACCCUGACAGGGUGCUUCCCAGAACAGGACACUGGGAAGGGUGGCCAAACCCAAGGGCUCUCAUGGCGCCCUAGGUUCAAAUAAGACCCUACAUCUGGUCUCAUGGACUGAGAGUAAAUGUUCACUAUUGUGCCUGAGUUUGUGGGAAUGGAUGUGAGCCGCCUUAAUCUGUGAGCCAGAAAUCCAUCACAAGAAAGAAAAGCAAUAUGAAGAAUUUUGUAAUUAAUUCAAAUAAGUCCACAUUCAAUGGGUUGGGAAAGUUGAGUGGUUUAAGAAAACUUAAAAGAGCCUUCAUUUAAAUAACACCUCAUUUGCUAUCUUAACAUUUACAAAUAUUUGCUUUGGGGGAUGGUCACCAAGGUCAGGUUUCUUCUAUUGCACGCUAACAAACUGAGAUGCUUUUAAUACUUAUUAAUUUCCCAUACAAAGAGUAACAGUACAAUUAGAAAGUCAUGUCAAAAUGUUGCUGACUUUU
Non-coding RNA from Anas platyrhynchos (mallard), 2864 nucleotides. The record is from RefSeq and is a predicted model, not a curated record. Lineage: Eukaryota; Metazoa; Chordata; Aves; Anseriformes; Anatidae.